Molecule: non-coding RNA, 135 nt
Organism: Triticum aestivum (bread wheat)
Lineage: Eukaryota; Viridiplantae; Streptophyta; Magnoliopsida; Poales; Poaceae
Source: Rfam
UAACUACUCCCUCCGUUUCAUAAUACAUGCCUUCCAUUUGUCAAAAUAUAGAUGUAUCUAGAUAUGUUUUAGUAUAUAGAUACAUCCAUUUUUGAUAAAUAGAAGUCAAGUAUUUUGAAACGGAGGGAGUAUGUU